This is a non-coding RNA of Carassius gibelio (silver crucian carp), 646 nucleotides long. NCBI's taxonomy places the organism in Eukaryota, Metazoa, Chordata, Actinopteri, Cypriniformes, Cyprinidae. The record is from the annotation of a RefSeq genome assembly.
AUGCAGUUCAAUGCAAAGUGUCUUCACAAUAGGAGUAAAAGAGCUUACUGUCUAGUGUCAGUGUCAGUUUUAGUGCAGGAGGUUUUUGUACAGCCGUUGAUUGAGUUUGUAUCACUGUGGUGGACUUUCGGUGGAGGCACUCGACUCUCUGUUGGAACUGCGGCUCGUCCCGCUCUCACAGUGCUGCUGCCCUCCAGAGACGAGCUGCAGCAGGGGAAGGCUACAGUGCUGUGUGUGGCCAGUAAGGGAUACCCCUCUGACUGGAAGCUGAGCUGGAAGGUGGACUGCAGCAGCAGGAGCUCUGGUGUGGAUCUGAGUCCCAGUCAGCUGCAGAAGGAUGGACUGUACAGCUGGAGCAGCAGCCUGAGCCUCACUGAGAGUGAGUGGAGCAGAGCAGCAACCGUCAGCUGUGAAGCCACGCACCCGUCCCACACUGCAGUCACCAAGAGCCUCAACACAAAGCAGUGUGAUGACCAGUGAAAUACACCAACAGACACACUGUCCUAAUUAAGCCGCUGCUCAACAAUUAAUCUUUCAUGCUAUUAGUAUAUUUUUCAUAUAGGUCUUAUUGUUGUAAUUCUACAACUGCCAUGCUUUGAAUUUUUUAUGUUAUUCUUGCUGCCAAAUAAAAGCAUUUUUUCUCAAA